CCGAUCUUGUUCUUACCUCUUCGAUAGAUUGGCGGAGCUGAGCAGAUGUCUUUAUAGACGAAGCAAGAGUGUUAUACAGCCGUUGACUUAAAGUUAGAAGAAAGAUCAUAGGAAACUGUAGUGCAUGUAACAAGAUAAUCUCAUCAUAUAUACAAUGAAGAGCUGUCCGAUAAUCCUUCUCACAGUCUGUGCUAGUUUAAUCAUCAGUCAAGUAGCUGGCAAUAUUGUAUGCGGCAAUCAACCGCAAAAGGGCAACAAACAGUCGUUAGCAGAAUACGUCUCAGAUGUUGUCAGCUACCUGCGAUAUUGUGGCAAACAAAGGUAUGGUAGAUCAUAUGAAGGUACACUUCAAGAAAUAGGUUAUCCUUCUGAAAUGGACAAAGACUUUGAAGAUGAGUACAACCGCUUUCUCCAGCAAUUUUUCAAACGGUACCAAUAAGUGUUCAACUGCAACCGGAGGCUGAUUUUUUUAUUUUGUAAUCCAUGAAAGAAGAAAACAACUCAAUUCAGUUAUUUUAUUGUUUUAAAAAAAGCUAGACAAUGACUUCGAUUUAACAACAAUGUCUUACAAUGUAAGAAAUGUGUAUAAUACGAACUGUGCUUUGAUUAAUAUAACACGGAUCGCAUAAAGUGUUUUGUUUGAAUAGAAGAAGCGUUUUCGAAAUCGUAUUGUACAUUUCAGUUUAGGUUGAACGAGGCAACACAGUGUCUUAAACUAGCACUAGAUAUAAAUAAAUAAUGGCAACGACAUAACCAAAAAUAUGAAUCUAAACAUAAUUUACAUUUGCAUGUUAAUAUUUUAAUUAUGAUCAGGUAGUCGUUUAUAGUUGCUAUCCACGUAUUCCUAGUUGAUAUUAUCGGUCAAUGCAAAUGGUUCGUAGCUAAAGAUUUAAGACGUAUGAUGCUGGGUUUUUUUUCCAGUGACUUCCCUUUCCACCACUCUUAGAAUAACAUUUAAAUUUGUAUAUUGUAUAUUCAAGGUCAUUAGUGAAAUCAUUGUUGGUUUGCAGUUGUUUACACGAUUCACUUAUUUUUAAACGUAACGUUCCCUCUGGAUAUACGAGUGUGGACUACGAAUCUUUCUUAUAAUACGCUGUACAAUGUACAAAUUAUGAAAUACAUUUCUCCAAGACAGUAAAAGAACAAACCAAAUAGCAAAGCAUCUCAAUUACAUAGUUACGAAUAGUCCGGAAAUACAUGUGACUACGCCAAAAAAAAAGAAUGUUAUUCAAUCUCUUUUUUUAAAUCGAAUUUUAAAUAAUAAGUUUCUCCUAACUAACGAGUAGCAAACGUCACCGCAUACCACGUGUGCCUAAAAGUGUGUGUUUUCUUUUUAAGUGGCUCAUUCAUGUACAACAAUGGGAUUACGUCACCGAACCAAUCAACUAGUCAUACACUAAUAUUCUGUUUCAAUUUAUUACAAACUUUUGUUAAUGUUAUGUGUUUUCGGAAAUUUCGUCUAAAUUAAUUUCUGGUAACAAAUUAUGACAAACGGUAUGGUAAAUGUGUCCAAAUAUUGGUGACAUGUCACGUGCCGCAGAGUUCCGACCUGUCGCAAUAUAUCUAUAUAUGGUGUUUAAAAACUGAAUUAUUAAUUAAAUUUAUAUCCUCGAACAUCAA
Molecule: long non-coding RNA, 1620 nt
Organism: Saccoglossus kowalevskii
Lineage: Eukaryota; Metazoa; Hemichordata; Enteropneusta; Harrimaniidae
Source: RefSeq, a predicted model, not a curated record